This 253-nucleotide ribosomal RNA is filed under the name uncultured bacterium. RNAcentral describes it as "partial 16S ribosomal RNA". It matches the Rfam family "Bacterial small subunit ribosomal RNA", at positions 524 to 776 of the family's 1533-position model. The record is from RNAcentral.
UACGUAGGGGGCGAGCGUUGUCCGGAAUUACUGGGCGUAAAGGGCGCGCAGGCGGCCGUGUAAGUCCGCUGUGAAAGACCGGGGCUCAACCCCGGGGUGUCAGCGGGGACUGCACGGCUGGAGUCCCGGAGAGGGAGGCGGAAUACCUGGUGUAGCGGGUGGAAUGCGUAGAGAUCAGGUGGAACACCGAUGGCGAAGGCAGCUCGCUGGGACGUACUGACACUGAGGAGCGAAAGCGUGGGGAGCGAACAGG